This 327-nucleotide long non-coding RNA is filed under the name Oncorhynchus mykiss (rainbow trout). RNAcentral describes it as "lncRNA (ENSOMYG00000061849.1)". The record is from RNAcentral. Lineage: Eukaryota; Metazoa; Chordata; Actinopteri; Salmoniformes; Salmonidae.
AUGAUGGAGACGUCUUCUCGUGAUCAAGCUGGUGGAGGUCUGUGGAACUGUCCUAGAAGGACCCAGUACAGCAAGGAGAUUCAGGACAUACUGAAAUUAAUGAUGCAAGAGUCGAGACUCACCAACUUCCAGCAAAGACAGCUUAAUGACAAACUUAAGAGGAUCAGCUUUGCCAUUGACCUGCGACCCCACAUCAUCGGCUCCUCCGUCACUGCACAAACCACACUCCAGCCAAGCCCCUGGGGCGCACCGCUGACAAUUGUAGUUCUAGGGACAACUACAUCAGCUCUACUACAUUUCAACUAUCCGAGAUGCUUGGAAUUCUAA